AGCAGCCGCGGUAAUUCCAGCUCCAAUAGCGUAUAUUAAAGUUGUUGCAGUUAAAAAGCUCGUAGUUGAAUUUCGGGGUUAGUAGGUUGGUCAUGCCUCUGGUAUGCACUGGCCUCACUGAUUCCUCCUUCCUGAUGAGCCGUAAUGCCAUUAAUUUGGUGUUGCGGGGAAUUUGGACUGUUACUUUGAAAAAAUUAGAGUGUUUAAAGCAGGCUCACGCUUGAAUACAUUAGCAUGGAAUAAUGAAAUAGGACGUUUGAUUCUAUUUUGUUGGUUUCUAGGAUCGACGUAAUGAUUAAUAGGGAUAGUUGGGGGCAUUAGUAUUCAAUUGUCAGAGGUGAAAUUCUUGGAUUUAUUGAAGACUAACUACUGCGAAAGCAUUUUGCCAAGGAUGUUUUCAUUAAUCAAGAACGAAAGUUAGGGGAUCGAAGACGAUCAGAUACCGUCGUAGUCUUAACCAUAAACUAUGCCGACUAGGGAUCGGAUGAUGUUAAUUUUUUAAUGACUCAUUCGGCGCCUU
Molecule: ribosomal RNA, 520 nt
Filed under: uncultured Glomus
Lineage: Eukaryota; Fungi; Glomeromycota; Glomeromycetes; Glomerales; Glomeraceae
Description: SSU rRNA
Rfam family: Eukaryotic small subunit ribosomal RNA
Source: RNAcentral